This 503-nucleotide ribosomal RNA is filed under the name uncultured bacterium. RNAcentral's name for it is "partial 16S ribosomal RNA". It matches the Rfam family "Bacterial small subunit ribosomal RNA", at positions 30 to 523 of the family's 1533-position model. The record is from RNAcentral.
AUUGAACGCUGGCGGCAGGCUUAACACAUGCAAGUCGAGCGGGGUGAUGGUGCUUGCACUAUCACUUAGCGGCGGACGGGUGAGUAAUGCUUAGGAAUCUGCCUAUUAGUGGGGGACAACAUCUCGAAAGGGAUGCUAAUACCGCAUACGUCCUACGGGAGAAAGCAGGGGAUCACUUGUGACCUUGCGCUAAUAGAUGAGCCUAAGUCGGAUUAGCUAGUUGGGGGGGUAAAGGCCUACCAAGGCGACGAUCUGUAGCGGGUCUGAGAGGAUGAUCCGCCACACUGGGACUGAGACACGGCCCAGACUCCUACGGGGGGGAGCAGUGGGGAAUAUUGGACAAUGGGGGGAACCCUGAUCCAGCCAUGCCGCGUGUGUGAAGAAGGCCUUAUGGUUGUAAAGCACUUUAAGCGAGGAGGAGGCUCUUUUGGUUAAUACCCAAGAUGAGUGGACGUUACUCGCAGAAUAAGCACCGGCUAACUCUGUGCCAGCCGCCGCAGUAA